AACGCAGUUAACUGCGCGUCAUAGUGUGAACUGCAG
This 36-nucleotide small RNA is filed under the name Bombyx mori (domestic silkworm). Its description in RNAcentral is "ovarian small RNA-10392". The record is from RNAcentral. Lineage: Eukaryota; Metazoa; Arthropoda; Insecta; Lepidoptera; Bombycidae.